AUUGAACGCUGGCGGCAGGCCUAACACAUGCAAGUCGAGCGGAUGAAGGGAGCUUGCUCCUGGAUUCAGCGGCGGACGGGUGAGUAAUGCCUAGGAAUCUGCCUGGUAGUGGGGGAUAACGUCCGGAAACGGGCGCUAAUACCGCAUACGUCCUGAGGGAGAAAGUGGGGGAUCUUCGGACCUCACGCUAUCAGAUGAGCCUAGGUCGGAUUAGCUAGUUGGUGGGGUAAAGGCCUACCAAGGCGACGAUCCGUAACUGGUCUGAGAGGAUGAUCAGUCACACUGGAACUGAGACACGGUCCAGACUCCUACGGGAGGCAGCAGUGGGGAAUAUUGGACAAAGGGCGAAAGCCUGAUCCAGCCAUGCCGCGUGUGUGGAGAAGGUCUUCGGAUUGUAAAGCACUUUAAGUUGGGAGGAAGGGCAGUAAGUUAAUACCUUGCUGUUUUGACGUUACCAACAGAAUAAGCACCGGCUAACUUCGUG
RNAcentral lists this ribosomal RNA (484 nucleotides) under uncultured bacterium. RNAcentral describes it as "partial 16S ribosomal RNA". It matches the Rfam family "Bacterial small subunit ribosomal RNA", at positions 30 to 507 of the family's 1533-position model. The record is from RNAcentral.